RNAcentral lists this ribosomal RNA (372 nucleotides) under uncultured organism. Its description in RNAcentral is "bacterial SSU rRNA". It matches the Rfam family "Bacterial small subunit ribosomal RNA", at positions 526 to 896 of the family's 1533-position model. The record is from RNAcentral.
CGGGGGGUGCGAGCGUUGUCCGGAAUCACUGGGCGUAACGGGCGCGUAGGUGGUUUGAUAAGGGUGUGGUGAAAGCCCGGGGCUCAACCCCGGGUCUGCCGUGCCGACUGUCAAACUUGAGGGCUGUAGAGGCAGACGGAAUUCCGGGUGUAGCGGUGGAAUGCGUAGAGAUCCGGAGGAAGACCGGUGGCGAAGGCGGUCUGCUGGGCAGUUUCUGACACUGAUGCGCGACAGCGUGGGGAGCAAACAGGAUUAGAUACCCUGGUAGUCCACGCCGUAAACGAUGGGUACUAGGUGCCUGGGGGAGCGACCCUCUGGGUGCCGGCGCUAACGCAGGAAGUACCCCGCCUGGGGAGUACGACCGCAAGGUUG